Molecule: non-coding RNA, 97 nt
Organism: Xylaria intraflava
Lineage: Eukaryota; Fungi; Ascomycota; Sordariomycetes; Xylariales; Xylariaceae
Source: the annotation of a GenBank genome assembly
GUUUUCGUGGCCUAGUGGUUAGGGCGUCUGUCUUACAAGAGGGUCUCCGGACCUGUUUGAUCACAGAAGAUCCCCGGUUCAAUCCCGGGCGGAAACA